UGAGGAAUAUUGGUCAAUGGGCGCAAGCCUGAACCAGCCAUCCCGCGUGCAGGAAGACGGCGCUAUGCGUUGUAAACUGCUUUUCCAGGGGGAGAAACUUGCGCACGUGUUGCGCAAUUGACGGUACCCUGGGAAUAAGCAUCGGCUAACUCCGUGCCAGCAGCCGCGGUAAUACGGAGGAUGCGAGCGUUAUCCGGAUUCAUUGGGUUUAAAGGGUGCGUAGGCGGACUAUUAAGUCAGUGGUGAAAUCCUGCAGCUUAACUGCAGAACUGCCAUUGAUACUGAUAGCCUUGAGUUUGGUUAAGGUAGGCGGAAUGUGUAAUGUAGCGGUGAAAUGCUUAGAUAUUACACAGAACACCAAUUGCGGAGGCAGCUUACUGAGCCGACACUGACGCUGAGGCACGAAAGCGUGGGGAUCGAGCAG
This 424-nucleotide ribosomal RNA is filed under the name uncultured bacterium. RNAcentral's name for it is "bacterial SSU rRNA". It matches the Rfam family "Bacterial small subunit ribosomal RNA", at positions 355 to 775 of the family's 1533-position model. The record is from RNAcentral.